This is a long non-coding RNA of Mus caroli (Ryukyu mouse), 3002 nucleotides long. RefSeq lists it as uncharacterized. The record is from RefSeq and is a predicted model, not a curated record. Lineage: Eukaryota; Metazoa; Chordata; Mammalia; Rodentia; Muridae.
ACAAUCCACAGGAGACACCCUGCUUCUCCCUGUUCCGUGGAAGAAGACAAGCACGCCGAGGCUGGCUUUCUCAAGAGCAUACCAGGAGAAAGCCCUUCACUGUCUCUGCAUUCGUCUGUACAUCCGUCAGCAGCAGGAGAACAAUCCUUCUGUAAGAACAUCUAGCCUGCAACCAAUCCAGCAUGCAUGCCCUACCAAGUCUCCAAGAACAAGCACAGCAUAGCUUAAAGAUUCCCAUGCCUCUCACCCUCCAAGGAGCCUGCUGGGGACUUCAUUUCUGCAUCAGGGACCAAGAGCAUAAGUCCAACUGCAAGCUCCUCUGUGUGCUGACCUGUUCUCCGCAUCACACUCAGAACCUUGGCUGGAAUGGCAUGAUUGCCCAUCUAAGCUCUCUCCAGUCAGAAGACCCAGAAUGUUCUCUGGGAAAGAGUGUGAUAAUUGGUUUCUGUUCUCCCUGAAUGCAGCACAGUGCUUGCCUUUAGUAUGUGUUCAAUAUCCACGAUGUGUAACACCACAUUCUGAAGUCUCCAGUGGCUGCAAACAAGAACAAUGCUUAUUGGGACUUUAAAAAAAAAAAAAAGUGACCUCUGCCUCAGUUUCUGCAUCUGCAGAGUGAAGAAAGACUCCAGAAGUGGGCUGACAGGAAGGAAGUACCUCAAAGCCAGUCCUGCAGAGGCCCUCCUAGAUAAGUGCUCUUUCUCUCUAUCUCUGGCCUGCUGAUCUGGCUAUCUGGGGACAUCCAUCCAGAAGGCUCCCUGGUGACAAGCUUUGCCCGCAAAGAUCCUAUCUCCCACCAACGGAACUUCAAAGGCAUCUUUAUCGUCAGGACCCACCUCAGGAAGGUGGAUUCCUAAGAAACUUCUCCUGGUAAGCCUUUUAUUCUGGGCCGACCAGGCACACCCGCCUGGCCUUAUCUGUAGUGUCCCUAAACUGUUGUCUUUCCAGGAAGGGUGUCUCCUAUCUACAGCCCUCCAGGAGGCAGAAGACCAGAAAGACCACAGAAGCCUGGCCUCCAAGGCUGGAGUCUCGGCUACCUACCACUCUUCAGCUGAUGCCUUGAGACAAAUAAGGCCACCUUUUAGAGAAUGUGGCUCCUGCAACUUCAUAAACUCCAGUAAUUAGGGCUGGGAUGGAAAUGAGGGUGGCCUGCAGAAUGUCUGCUUAAAAUGGUUCCUUGUAGCAAAAUAGUAGGGUGGUAAAGCUGGGGAGAAAGUUUUCCAGGAAGUUGUUCUGCAAAAGGUGAAACUGCUGGAUACAAGAGACCUUUCAUGCUGGUUGGGGAGGAUGGGAGCCAUCAAAAGUGAACAAGAGGAGGUAAGCAGGAGGCCCACUGCGGCAAAAGAUCCAUUCCUCGCCUGGGAAUAAGCUCAGUAGGGGUCUUCUCUGGGAGCUGAGCAGGGUGCUGCCAAGCUUGACAAGAUAACCUAAGUGCUGACAAAGGUCCUUGCCUUCCUACCAUUACCGGACAAGUGUGUGGAAGAGUACAAAGUGGAACUCCCUGCCUCCUUCCCUGAGGGCUCUGUAGUACCAAGGCUUUCUCUUAGAGCAAAUCCCACAUCUCUUCACAGCCAUAUGCCUAGAGUCUAGAGCAGGGCUUCAGGAGUGUCUUCAUAAAUCAACAGGAUGAACACGCUUAGAGGGAAGCAUUGGGGAAACAAUUAUCAGAAUCACCAACCACUGUGGUUAUGUGUGUCUCCUCCCUUCCCCUCCUUCUUCAGAGAGACACCAACACCUAGACACACUCACUUCACCACACUCCUACCAACCUUCAGUCUUAAAAACAUAUGUGGCAAGGACAUGAGAAUACUGGCCACAUGCUAGAUUCUGAUCUUUGCCAUGAAGACAAGUUUUUCAUGAAGACAGCCUUGGAUUAUUCAUUGAUGCCCUCAAUUGAUAAUGCCCUGUUUCCAUAGUAUCCAACUCACAGUGAGUUACAAGGAUGGUACUCACCCAGUUCAGCUUGGCUCCAUGGUACCCAUGCCUACUAGCAGAUUACUAUUUCCACCAGGGAAACUGCAAACACUUAGCUAUGAAGAACAAAUGCCCAGCAUCCCAAACAUCCAAGUAUACUUUGUACUUGGGGGUUCUAGGUUCAUCCCGGCUCUGUGUCUUACUUUCCCAGGCGAAUAAGCUUCAGGCUUGCCAGUGUACAACAUAGUUUUUAACAACAGCUGCCUUCCCCCAAACCUGGAUCAAGUCAAAGAGAAAGCAGGAAGCUUUCUAGAGUUAGCACAGAAGGUGCUAAAUGAUUAUAUUAACAUGAAUUACAGCUCCCAUGACCCUCAGAUCAGUCACAUCCAAAUACACCCAUACAGUCCCCAGCCACCCUGGUUUCUAUGAGCCCCACUCCUGUUUGAGACACUCUGCUUUGAUCAGUCAGCUGAAAUCUUGGUGCCAGGAAAUUCAACACCAGGGUCAAGAUCUAAGAAUGCAUCUGUCCUUAAGGUUGCACAAGCUGUGCCCUGCUCUGAAGUUUCAGCCUGAGGAACACGAAACAGUAGAGCACCUGGGAGUUAGGCCCCACACCCCACUUUCCUGAAAGCCUGUGGGGGGGCUGCCUGCAUGAGUGCACCUGUGUGUGCAAACUUCUGGUCAUGGCAGCACCUCAGCAAAGUCACUGCACACUCUUGCACACCAGGGAGAAUAAUAGGCUAUGGACUCCUAGACACAUCACUGGCCCAACUCUCAAUCUAGUUACCUGUAGUUAACUAGACACAGGGUAGCCCCGAUUUGUAGAAGACACACCUGAAACCCACGUGUGAGAAGGGGUUCAUAUCCCUAUCGGUACCUGUUUGCUCUUCCCAGUGCUUAGGAACAGAAUGUAAAUUCUGCCAAGGUUUGCAAAUAACUGUCAUUUGACAUCUCUGAAUCUAAGAGACUGUCCUAACUUCUAAGGUAGAGUCUGGCAGUGGUUUAAAAAGUUCCUUGAUCCUAUCUGAUGUCUACAGGGAAAAAUAGUGAUGGUGAUUGUGGUGAUAGGGGGGAGGAGGAAGAGGAGGAGG